This 260-nucleotide long non-coding RNA is filed under the name Physcomitrium patens. Its description in RNAcentral is "long non-coding RNA (PPAT_LNC005717)". The record is from RNAcentral. Lineage: Eukaryota; Viridiplantae; Streptophyta; Bryopsida; Funariales; Funariaceae.
AAGUUUGGGGCCACGAUAGGCAAGAUGUACCAACUGAUAAACUAGAGACAAUAAAUCCUCAGGCUAAACUUCACACAUGACUCAAACUUUCUUCGAGAAUAUGCUCAAUUUGCAUUGAUGCCAGGAGCAGCUUCUGUAAUGUGUGGACUGUUCUUUGCAGUGAUCAUUCAGACCACAAAUUAGCUAGAAAAUGGGACUUAAUAUCUUGCUUUCACCCUCUAAUCCUUCUUUGAAGAUCGUCCCAUUACGUCCAAGCAACA